CCCUUAGACGUUCUGGGCCGCACGCGCGCUACACUGAUACAUGCAACGAGUUUAUAACCUUGAUCUGACGGUCUGGGUAAUCUUCAAACUGUAUCGUGUUAGGGAUCGAUUCUUGCAAUUUUUAAUCGUAAACGAGGAAUUCCUAGUAAACGCAAGUCAUCAGCUUGCAUUGAUUACGUCCCUGCCCUUUGUACACACCGCCCGUCGACUCUACCGAUUGAAUGGUUCGGUGAAAACUUUGGACUGUGGCAUUGUCCUUCAUUGGACUUCGCCGUAGGAAAUUGUUUAAACCUCAUCAUUUAGAGGAAGAAUAAGUCGUAACA
Molecule: ribosomal RNA, 323 nt
Filed under: uncultured eukaryote
Lineage: Eukaryota
Description: partial 18S ribosomal RNA
Rfam family: Eukaryotic small subunit ribosomal RNA
Source: RNAcentral